Molecule: unclassified non-coding RNA, 117 nt
Organism: Pongo abelii (Sumatran orangutan)
Lineage: Eukaryota; Metazoa; Chordata; Mammalia; Primates; Hominidae
Rfam family: Metazoan signal recognition particle RNA
About the family: The signal recognition particle (SRP) is a universally conserved ribonucleoprotein. It is involved in the co-translational targeting of proteins to membranes.
Source: Ensembl
GCUGGGUGUGGUGGCUCAUGCCUGUAAUCCCAGCUACCUGGGAGGCAGAGGUGGGUGGAUUGCUUGAGCCCAGGAGUUAGAGACCAGCCUGGGCAACAUAGUGAGAUCCCAUCUCAG